CGCGGCGCCGCGAUCGCGCGCUCCGGAGCCGCGGAGGCCGAGGCAGCGCGAGCGCAGGCCCCGCAGCAGCCCCGCGACCCCUCGGGCGCUCGGGCCAGGCUCAGGUCCGGAAGCUACGUCCCCGGGAGACGAGGGCCCCGCAUCUGAUUCUUGCGCCUGGCUAUCCUCGCAGCGGAGCAAACAGAUGAGCCACGACACAGCCGUGUGGAGCACGUCAGACCCUUCCCUCCGAAAGUCACCAGCAAGGACAGAGGAGAAAGGACUCUGCACACCCACAGAGUGAAAGAGCAACCUUCCCUGCAGACAUAGGCCAACCGGGGCCCAGGUGGAGUGGCCCACGUCUGCUUCCUUCCUGCUGCACCGCAGAGGACCCUGGCCUGUUGUUUCGUGGCUUCUCUCUAAAACUCCUCUCCACGCUGGGCAGGGCGGUGCACACCUGUCAUCCCAGCACUCAGGAGGCUGAGGCAGGAAGAUCAUAGUGAAUUCCAGGCCAGCCUGAGCUACAAAGUAAGAUGCUGUCUCAAAAAAC
RNAcentral lists this long non-coding RNA (529 nucleotides) under Chinchilla lanigera (long-tailed chinchilla). RNAcentral's name for it is "lncRNA (ENSCLAG00000027351.1)". The record is from RNAcentral. Lineage: Eukaryota; Metazoa; Chordata; Mammalia; Rodentia; Chinchillidae.